GCACACACACACACAUUUAUUAAUUUUAGCUUAUUUCUGGGGUUUUUUGGAGAAGCAUUUGACGGAUUUUAAAAUUCAGAGUUGGCAACACUGAUUGGCAGUGGAUAUCGUAACGUAGCCUAAAACCAAAGUUUCCGAACUGAUUUUGGAAUAAGUUUUAUCUCAUUCUUUAAUCAAAGUUAAUAUAAAAGUUUUUAUAUUAUAUUUAUUUUUUCUCCAGGUUUUGUUUCAAUUUGGUUUAACUGAGUUGCUUGUGUUCAGCACAAUGAUUGGAUAUGGAUGAAGUGCCGAAACACAGUCUGAAACCGAAUAUUCACAGAAGAAAGCUAAUAGCGUCUAUUUGGUGAUUCAGCGCUGAUAUUAUCUACUACAGCUUCAUGAAACCUGGUCAAUCGAUUACAGCGGAUGUCUACUGUAACUAACUAGGCGAAAUGAUGAAAAUGCUUGCGAUCAAACAGCCGAGAUUGAUCAAUAGACACAGGCACUGGACCAUUUCUUGCAAGGAAAAAUAUUCAAUUCUUAACAAGCUGUGGAAAACAUCUUCCGCGAUUUCAUCGUCACCUGUUCUUCAGGCUUCUUCGCUGCUGGCAUAAAUAAAUUACCAUUAAAAUGGCACAACUGUGCCGAUAGUUUAGGCGU
RNAcentral lists this unclassified non-coding RNA (639 nucleotides) under Harpegnathos saltator (Jerdon's jumping ant). RNAcentral describes it as "dipeptidyl peptidase 3, transcript variant X3". The record is from RNAcentral. Lineage: Eukaryota; Metazoa; Arthropoda; Insecta; Hymenoptera; Formicidae.